This 253-nucleotide ribosomal RNA is filed under the name uncultured bacterium. RNAcentral's name for it is "partial 16S ribosomal RNA". It matches the Rfam family "Bacterial small subunit ribosomal RNA", at positions 524 to 776 of the family's 1533-position model. The record is from RNAcentral.
UACGUAGGGGGCAAGCGUUAUCCGGAUUUACUGGGUGUAAAGGGAGCGUAGACGGUUAUGCAAGUCAGAAGUGAAAGCCCAAAGCUCAACUUCGGGACUGCUUUUGAAACUGUGUAACUAGAGUGCAGGAGGGGUAAGCGGAAUUCCUAGUGUAGCGGUGAAAUGCGUAGAUAUUAGGAGGAACACCGGCGGCGAAGGCGGCUUACUGGACUGUAACUGACGUUGAGGCUCGAAAGCGUGGGGAGCAAACAGG